AAGAGAAGAAGAAUAACAACUCCAUUAGAGUUACAGCUAGCCUCAACUCCACGAACUCCACACUUCAACAUUUCAACUCCACGAACUCCAUACUUCACUCUCGAUCUAGAAGAAGAAGAAGAAGAAAUCGUUUCCCUCGGAAAAGAUUCAAGGAACAAUCAAUCCAACUCAGAAAUUGUUAACCAAGGUUAUCUUGAUUAGUUGGUGAAGCAUGUUAUUGGACUAGAGACAGGACAACUAGUUGCCAUGGAAUAAAUAUUCAAGGCUUUGUAUUUGCCAUUGCCACCAGUUCUACUUGUUGCAUUUUUACCACCAAUUUCCAGUCAGUAAUACUGCUAGUCUGCUACUUGUUACUUGGAUUCUUUUACUACUUCUUAGUUCUUACUACUGUUUAAUUGUGCAUGUGAAUGUAUGAGUGACUGUUUGUCAGUCUUUGACUGUUAUGAUACUUGUUACUUUUUCAGUUUUUUAAGACUUGGUAUUUGAUAA
Molecule: long non-coding RNA, 489 nt
Organism: Papaver somniferum (opium poppy)
Lineage: Eukaryota; Viridiplantae; Streptophyta; Magnoliopsida; Ranunculales; Papaveraceae
Exons: 3
Source: RefSeq, a predicted model, not a curated record